This 252-nucleotide unclassified non-coding RNA is filed under the name Dothideomycetes sp. RNAcentral's name for it is "partial contains small subunit ribosomal RNA, internal transcribed spacer 1, and 5.8S ribosomal RNA". The stretch from base 1 to 46 matches the Rfam family "Eukaryotic small subunit ribosomal RNA", at positions 1786 to 1831 of the family's 1831-position model. The record is from RNAcentral. Lineage: Eukaryota; Fungi; Ascomycota; Dothideomycetes.
AAGUCGUAACAAGGUUUCCGUAGGUGAACCUGCGGAAGGAUCAUUAGCGAGACACGGUCCUUUUAGGGCCGACUCCAAACCCCAAUCUACCAACCUCUGUUGCCUCGGCGGGCCGUCGGCGCUUCGGCGCCGCCGUCGGCCCCUACGCUUUCGAGCGCCCGCCGGAGAAACCCCUAAAACCCUUCAAAAACGAGCAAAUCUGAAAAAUAAUCAAUAUUUAAAAAACUUUCAACAACGGAUCUCUUGGUUCUG